GUUCUGUGGAAUGCUCUUCUGUGUCAAUAAAACAGUCAGAUUCUGUAGAUACUUUCAAGUCCAGACUUAAGACGCACUUAUUUUCCCUUUCGUAUAGCUAGCAUACUGGCAUAGUAUGUUACUAUGCUUUAUACCCUUUUAAGUUCAUUUUAUUAGAAAACGGAGCAUGCUGCUCCCUCAACUUCAUCUAAAGUCUGGGUCUUUUAGUGAAGCUUAGGACUCGUGGUCGGCGAUCACUUUAUCCCUCUGGGGUCGAUGCUCUCAU
Long non-coding RNA from Thalassophryne amazonica, 265 nucleotides. RefSeq lists it as uncharacterized. The transcript has 4 exons. NCBI's taxonomy places the organism in Eukaryota, Metazoa, Chordata, Actinopteri, Batrachoidiformes, Batrachoididae. The record is from RefSeq and is a predicted model, not a curated record.